UAAUACGAAGGUGGCGAGCGUUGUCCGGAUUUACUGGGCGUAAAGAGCGCGCAGGCGGCUGGGCAAGUCCGAUGUGAAAGCUUCCGGCUUAACUGGAAAAUUGCAUCGGAAACUGCUCGGCUUGAAGGUGGGAGAGGGUAGCGGAAUUCCCGGUGUAGUGGUGAAAUGCGUAGAUAUCGG
This 180-nucleotide ribosomal RNA is filed under the name uncultured bacterium. Its description in RNAcentral is "partial 16S ribosomal RNA". It matches the Rfam family "Bacterial small subunit ribosomal RNA", at positions 521 to 700 of the family's 1533-position model. The record is from RNAcentral.